Molecule: long non-coding RNA, 146 nt
Filed under: Pongo abelii (Sumatran orangutan)
Lineage: Eukaryota; Metazoa; Chordata; Mammalia; Primates; Hominidae
Description: lincRNA
Source: RNAcentral
UUCCCAACACAUAUUCACAUAAAGCACCCAUUCAGUGACCCACAGCUGCAGGUGGAUUUCCACACAGGGAUGAAUGAGGACUCAGACAUCACCUUCCACUUCUGAGUGUAUCUUAGCCAUUAUGUGGUCAUGAACAUCUGUGAAUG